This is a long non-coding RNA of Coregonus clupeaformis (lake whitefish), 1390 nucleotides long. RefSeq lists it as uncharacterized. The record is from RefSeq and is a predicted model, not a curated record. The transcript is spliced from 4 exons. Lineage: Eukaryota; Metazoa; Chordata; Actinopteri; Salmoniformes; Salmonidae.
GUGUUGCGCGUUCGUAAAUUCGUCAGUUAUUCUGCGCCCUGGCACACUCAGGUGAGAGUGCUCUGAAAUCGGAGUAAAAGCCAGAGUAAAUUUACGAAGUGUGCAGCAAGUUCGAAAAGCAGCUGGAGCAUAAUGCAUUUUUAAAAAAUAUUUCUGCCGUUGAUGAUGUCACUUCUUUGUUUACUUCAGCCAAUGAAUGCCACAUUUGUUACAAGAUGAAACCAAAAUAUACUCAGCCAAAGGUUCCAGAAGGAGGGAGGAGACAAUGCGAGGGAAUGUUCACAUUUAGCUGCAUUUCCUGCUCCCAAGAGAUGGUGGCUCCCUAUCCCGCUCUGUCAGGGAUCUGCAGUUACUUAGCUCCAGCUCCGAAGAAGAUGACGACAAAUCAUCCAGCUUUGAGCCACCCCUGCUUACCUCACCCGCCGCUAUCAGAAAAGUUUGAAAUGGUACCAGGCCAUGCGCAGCGAGAAGAAGACCAAACAUCAUAAGAAGAAGCUUGAGCAGCUUUGUGAUAAGCAGGACCCUCUGGUAUCCAGGCGAGACCCACAGCCACUCUGGGUGCUGGGGAGGGGACGUCUGUCUUUAAACCCUACCCGGGAGGGAAGAGGAAAAGGAGCCCGUUGUCAAAGAGAGAUCCCCUGCCGCCCAGCCGGGUGAAGAGAUAAGACCGCCGGUCAUGGCGCCGACAGCUAGACAGCAGUGCCUCAGACUCCCCACCAUCUGAUGCCAGCGUCAUGCUCAGCCCACCCUACACCCACACCCCCUUUCUCUCCCCCACAGAUACCAGUGCUCCUCCUCACCCUACUCCUCUUUCUAGCACAUCUCCCAACACCCUAAUACUUUCCCCUUCCUUCUCUUUCAGUAUGUCUUCCAGUGCCCCUAGCACCCCAGUACGCACACAGUUAUUCACCUCCAGUGCCCCUUGCACCCCACAACAUGGGACCUUUCGCAGGGAGCAGAGAUGGAAACUCGAGUCUGAGACUCGGACUCGAGUCACACUUAAAUCGCAAAGAAAAUGACUUGCGACUUGACUUAGACUCAUGAUCAAUUGACUUGAGACUUGACUUGGACUCUAGAUGAGAGACUUGUGAACAAUGCAAGUCAGUACUGGGAUAAGUUUUUGUUGUGCAUUCUGUCAGAUAACAUGGAACAGGCGGCAUUGUAACACAGAGAUAGUAGUUUAAUACAGAGGGCUGAAAAGCGUUCUAGAACGGCUGCGUCAUUUGUACGUUACUGUAGUACUACAGCUAAACAAUUGUAAUCAGCAACAAUGUCAUCAGGUGGUGAGGCUUUCGUUAUUACAUUUGGUUACAAGAACCUGCAGUAUAAUGCCAGAGGCAAAAAACGAAAUGCUGUUUGCAAAACUUGUGGAAUUAACAUUAAAGAUGCA